CACGUAGGGACCAAGCGUUGUCCGGAUUUAUUGGGCGUAAAGCGCUCGUAGGCGGUUCGGUAAGUCGGGUGUGAAACCUCCAGGCUCAACCUGGUGACGCCACCCGAUACUGCCGUGACUUGAGUUCGGUAGGGGAGCGGGGAAUUCCUGGUGUAGCGGUGAAAUGCGCAGAUAUCAGGAGGAACACCGGUGGCGAAGGCGCCGCUCUGGGCCGAAACUGACGCUGAGGAGCGAAAGCGUGGGGAGCGAACAGGAUUAGAUACCCUGGUAGUCCACGCCGUAAACGUUGGGCACUAGGUGUGGGUCCUAACCAACGGGAUCCGUGCCGUCGCUAACGCAUUAAGUGCCCCGCCUGGGGAGUACGGCCGCAAGGCUAAA
Molecule: ribosomal RNA, 378 nt
Filed under: uncultured bacterium
Lineage: Bacteria
Description: bacterial SSU rRNA
Rfam family: Bacterial small subunit ribosomal RNA
Source: RNAcentral